Molecule: long non-coding RNA, 671 nt
Filed under: Homo sapiens (human)
Lineage: Eukaryota; Metazoa; Chordata; Mammalia; Primates; Hominidae
Description: HSALNT0138960
Source: RNAcentral
GGGGCCCACCCCACGCAGUCCCGCCGCCGCUUCAGCCCAACAGCCCUCCUCACGCUGGCGCGCUCCGAGGCCAAGCCCUGGAGGAAACUCUUGACUCUGCGCUAGAACCUCUCUGCCCCUUCCCUCAGCCCAUUAACCCCCGACCCUCACCUCCAGCCUCUCUUCUUAGGGAAAAGGUGAAAGAAAACGAGAAAGAGAUGGGAGGAAAAGGCAAAAGAAAUAAAGAACUUGAAAACGAAAUGAUCAUCAUUUCCCUAUUCUUCCAUGCCAGAAAUAGACCUCUUUCUUCACCUGAGCCUGAAACAGACUUAUUGUUCUCAGGUGUUUCCUUCAUCAUAUGCAUUUACCCGUCUGAAGUCGCAGGAAAUGGUUUUUCCAUCAGUGAGCUUGUACAUGGAGCCCUCUCCCGCAAAGGGCUUGAUCUUUUCUGAUUUGAACCUGAAAGUUUCCCUGCCUUCAUUUCCCCUCAGUCUUUUUAAAAUCUCCCACUCCCCUUCCCCAUGCACACACCUCAAGUACUUUUUUUAAAGCCAGAAAUUUUGCUCUCUGGGGUGUUUUUCAGUAAACAGUAACGCUACAUAAACACCUUUUUCACUUACAAGUUGCAGAGAAUUUAAAUGUUACCCCUGUGUGCACGUAUGUUUCUUAAGGCAUAUGGAUAAGCCCCACUG